Molecule: small nuclear RNA, 107 nt
Filed under: Microcebus murinus (gray mouse lemur)
Lineage: Eukaryota; Metazoa; Chordata; Mammalia; Primates; Cheirogaleidae
Source: RNAcentral
GAGUUAGCUUGGGCAGCACAUCUACUAGAAUAUGUAGAAUACAGAGAAGAUUAGCAUGGCCCCUGCGCAAGGAUGAGGCGCAAAUCCGUGCAGCGUGAUAUUUUUAA